Long non-coding RNA from Balaenoptera musculus (blue whale), 471 nucleotides. RefSeq lists it as uncharacterized. NCBI's taxonomy places the organism in Eukaryota, Metazoa, Chordata, Mammalia, Artiodactyla, Balaenopteridae. The record is from RefSeq and is a predicted model, not a curated record. The transcript has 3 exons.
UCUGUUUCUCGGUGAAAUAAUCCAAGCACAGCACUGUAGGAUAGGAGCCAGGAGCAUGGCCACUGAAGCAGCAGCCGUCCCACAUGGUUGGUGGAGGGAGAGCCCCAGUUGUCCAGGAAAGCCACGCUGCCGUAUCCUCAGUGCCAGUCCAGCUGAGAACCGUGGGCCGCAGAGUAUGCUGCUGUGGAAGCAGAGGACCCUCCCAAUAUGCAUGCGCAUCUUUUUGCCAAGAUGGAUUCCAACACAGAGGCCUGUGGGAGCAGGGCUCAGCUCCUGCCACUAACUUUGCCCUUGGAGUGUCCAGGGAAAACAAAGCUCCAAUUUACCCUGCUUGACAAGCUCCAGCUGCUCUGCCCAGGGGCCCAUCUGCCUCCUACCUCAUCCUGACACCUCAGACUUGCUGCUUCUACCUUUCCUGGACCAGAAGUGUUCCUACAAGGAUUUGGAAGUUUCAAAAGUGCCCUCCUGCCA